Cinara cedri is the source of this 382-nucleotide non-coding RNA. The record is from the annotation of a GenBank genome assembly. NCBI's taxonomy places the organism in Eukaryota, Metazoa, Arthropoda, Insecta, Hemiptera, Aphididae.
GAUGCACAGCUGCUAAAAACCGGACGCAAUCAAAACUCGAAAAGGGUUAAGAAGUUUAAAUCGGAACGCAAUAGGAUGACAACCGUCCUCCUAUUGGAAACUCCUGAGGCAUGUUACUAUUUUUGUAAUCGAAUCAUAUUAUAUUAUGUAGUGUGAUGACGCAUAGUGAAUACAAUAUACAGUUGAAUGUAUGUGUUGACGCGAUUUCGAUAAUAUUUGAUGGCAUUAUCGUCGGUGCUAAAACGAAUAUAGUUCCAGGGAAAAUCAUUGGGUGAAAAGAAAAGAUAAUAAUAUUAUUUAGUAUAGGUAAGUAUAAGAUACCUAACGUGGUUAUUCGAUUACCGCUCUGUAAAUAUUAUAUUAUCUGAAAUCGCUUCUCUGA